CUUUGGUGGCGACCGGCGCACGGGUGCGUAACGCGUAUGCAACCUACCUUUAACAGGGGCAUAACACUGAGAAAUUGGUACUAAUUCCCCAUAACAUUCGAGAAGGCAUCUUCUUGGGUUAAAGACUCCGGUGGUUAAAGAUGGGCAUGCGUUGUAUUAGCUAGUUGGUGAGGUAACGGCUCACCAAGGCAACGAUACAUAGGGGGACUGAGAGGUUAACCCCCCACAUUGGUACUGAGACACGGACCAA
This 250-nucleotide ribosomal RNA is filed under the name uncultured bacterium. RNAcentral describes it as "partial 16S ribosomal RNA". It matches the Rfam family "Bacterial small subunit ribosomal RNA", at positions 83 to 334 of the family's 1533-position model. The record is from RNAcentral.